This 469-nucleotide ribosomal RNA is filed under the name uncultured Alphaproteobacteria bacterium. Its description in RNAcentral is "bacterial SSU rRNA". It matches the Rfam family "Bacterial small subunit ribosomal RNA", at positions 9 to 524 of the family's 1533-position model. The record is from RNAcentral. Lineage: Bacteria; Pseudomonadati; Pseudomonadota; Alphaproteobacteria.
GAGUUUGAUCGUGGCUCAGAACGAACGCUGGCGGCAUGCCUAACACAUGCAAGUCGAACGAGACCUUCGGGUCUAGUGGCGCACGGGUGCGUAACGCGUGGGAAUCUGCCCUUCGGUUCGGAACAACAGUUAGAAAUGACUGCUAAUACCGGAUAAUGACGUAAGCCCAAAGAUUUAUCGCCGAAGGAUGAGCCCGCGUAGGAUUAGCUUGUUGGUGGGGUAAUGGCCCACCAAGGCGACGAUCCUUAGCUGGUCUGAGAGGAUGAUCAGCCACACUGGGACUGAGACACGGCCCAGACUCCUACGGGAGGCAGCAGUGGGGAAUAUUGGACAAUGGGCGAAAGCCUGAUCCAGCAAUGCCGCGUGAGUGAUGAAGGCCUUAGGGUUGUAAAGCUCUUUUACCCGGGAUGAUAAUGACAGUACCGGGAGAAUAAGCUCCGGCUAACUCCGUGCCAGCCGCCGCAGUAAC